This 748-nucleotide unclassified non-coding RNA is filed under the name Melitaea cinxia (Glanville fritillary). RNAcentral's name for it is "misc RNA ENSMCXG00005003399.1". The record is from RNAcentral. Lineage: Eukaryota; Metazoa; Arthropoda; Insecta; Lepidoptera; Nymphalidae.
CUGAUUCAUAAAUGCCCGUCUAUUUGCCCGGCUUUUCAUUUUUAGACUGCAUGUUGCGGCAAUAAAUAACAUAACUGUUGACAAAAGCUAUAUUCAGCAUGCCAUAGAAUAAUGCCAUAGGCCACCUAUUUGUUUUUCUACUGCAUGACAUCUGCGUACACAUUUGAUCGAACGAAUCAAUACCCCCCUUCGUUUGAAUAUAGGAUUCAAUCAUAUCUGGUUUUCCGGAGCUAGAUUUGACGACACCGACUUCGUCACAGGAUGACAAUAGAUAUACCAUCUUCGACGGUUUAGGUUUAUAUGACAGUAACGUUAAUGGACCAUCAUAACAAAACAUAGAGGUUCCAAUGGCCCUCUGCUUUGAGUUUUUUAGUUCUUCCGGUAUUUCCCUUUUGUUUGAGCGUAUUGUACCAAUUAUCGUCAGUAUGAAAGGUUCUCUGAGUAAAGAUUUAGCAAUAGGUACGGACGUGAACCAGUUAUCGCAGGUUAUAUUUCUACAUGAUCCAUGGAUAAUCUUCAAUAACUCUUUCAUGAAAUAUUCCCCAAGGGGAAGUCCAUUUGUUUCUAUUCCUUUACCUAUAUAGGGAAUGAAUGGCGUCAAACAUAUAUUUUGUGAAACUGUCACAGAUCCUAGGUAUUUUCAGGCCAUAGCAGCCAGGCCAGGAAUACACAAUGUAAUAAUGACAAACUACAACCGAGUACACAUUCAAACUACAAAAUACUAUAGAAAGGCAAUGAAUCCACAAUC